Molecule: ribosomal RNA, 527 nt
Filed under: Laocoetis perion
Lineage: Eukaryota; Metazoa; Porifera; Hexactinellida; Sceptrulophora; Craticulariidae
Description: partial 16S ribosomal RNA
Rfam family: Bacterial large subunit ribosomal RNA
Source: RNAcentral
CUGUUUACCAAAAACAUAGCCAUAAGAAAAAAUUAUUAAUGGUGACGCCUGCUCAAUGAUUGCACAAUACACAAAACAACAAUUUAAUAGCUGCAGUAACACUUGACUGCACAAAGGUAGCACAAUAAAUCGCCUAUUAAUUAUAGGCUCGCAUGAAGGAAAAACGAAAUUUACUCUGUCUCAAGACUCUCAAAAAGAAAAUAGAAUGUGUGUGCAAAUCCUAACUUAGGCAGCAAGACGACAAGACCCUAAGAACUUUACUCUCAACUUAAAUAAAACACAACUCUUAAAAACAUAAAAGAAAACUCUAAGUCCCUGAGUUUCGUUGGGGCAACGAUCUCAAAAAAAAUAACUAAGAUUAUUAUAAUUAAAUAAAUAAAAGAUUAAUAAAUCAAAACCUAAGAAUAAGACCCAUUACCAACAAAAACCUAAUGAUUAAAACAUAAAAGCUCCUUAGGGAUAACAGCGUAAUAUUGUUUUCAAAGAUACUUUCAAACAAUGUUUGCGACCUCGAUGUUGAAUUAYRA